RNAcentral lists this ribosomal RNA (433 nucleotides) under uncultured bacterium. RNAcentral describes it as "partial 16S ribosomal RNA". It matches the Rfam family "Bacterial small subunit ribosomal RNA", at positions 29 to 507 of the family's 1533-position model. The record is from RNAcentral.
AGCGAACGCUGGCGGCAGGCUUAACACAUGCAAGUCGAGCGGGCACUUCGGUGUCAGCGGCAGACGGGUGAGUAACACGUGGGAACGUACCCUUUGGUUCGGAAUAACGCUGGGAAACUAGCGCUAAUACCGGAUACGCCCUUUUGGGGAAAGGCUUGCUGCCGAAGGAUCGGCCCGCGUCUGAUUAGCUAGUUGGUGGGGUAAUGGCCUACCAAGGCGACGAUCAGUAGCUGGUCUGAGAGGAUGCUCCGCCACACUGGGACUGAGACCCGGCCCCGACUCCUACGGGAGGCAGCAGUGGAGAAUAGUGGACAAUGGGCGCAAGCGUGAUCCAGCCAUGCCGCGUGAGUGAUGAAGGCCUUAGGGUUGUAAAGCUCUUUUGUCCGGGACGAUAAUGACGGUACCGGAAGAAUAAGCCCCGGCUAACUUCGUG